GUCCACGCCCUAAACGAUGUCGACUAGUUGUUGGGGUUAUUAUGACCUCAGUAACGAAGCUAACGCAUGAAGUCGACCGCCUGGGGAGUACGGCCGCAAGGUUAAACUCAAAGGAAUUGACGGGGACCCGCACAAGCGGUGGAUGAUGUGGAUUAAUUCGAUGCAACGCGAAGAACCUUACCUACCCUUGACAUGUCACUAACGAACAGAGAUGUAUCAGGUGCCCGAAAGGGAAGUGAACACAGGUGCUGCAUGGCUGUCGU
RNAcentral lists this ribosomal RNA (263 nucleotides) under uncultured bacterium. RNAcentral describes it as "partial 16S ribosomal RNA". It matches the Rfam family "Bacterial small subunit ribosomal RNA", at positions 793 to 1055 of the family's 1533-position model. The record is from RNAcentral.